This 252-nucleotide ribosomal RNA is filed under the name uncultured Allobaculum sp. RNAcentral's name for it is "partial 16S ribosomal RNA". It matches the Rfam family "Bacterial small subunit ribosomal RNA", at positions 524 to 776 of the family's 1533-position model. The record is from RNAcentral. Lineage: Bacteria; Bacillati; Bacillota; Erysipelotrichia; Erysipelotrichales; Erysipelotrichaceae.
UACGUAGGUGGCAAGCGUUGUCCGGAUUUAUUGGGCGUAAAGCGAGCGCAGGCGGAAAGAUAAGUCUGAUGUGAAAGCCCCCGGCUUAACCGGUAUAGGCUCUGGAAACUGGCGGGCUAGAGAGCAGGAGAGGGCGGUGGAACUCCAUGUGUAGCGGUAAAAUGCGUAGAUAUAUGGAAGAACACCAGUGGCGAAGGCGGCCGCCUGGCCUGUUACUGACGCUGAGGCACGAGAGCGUGGGUAGCGAACAGG